RNAcentral lists this transfer RNA (66 nucleotides) under Vignadula atrata. Its description in RNAcentral is "tRNA-Met". Lineage: Eukaryota; Metazoa; Mollusca; Bivalvia; Mytilida; Modiolidae. The record is from RNAcentral.
UACAAAGUAAACUAAUAAAGUUGUGGGGUUCAUACCCCCAAAAAUGCUGGAGUACGGUCUUUGUAG